UAUCAGGGCAGUUAGAUACUUCACUUUUAAUUCUUUUAGAUUAAAACAUUAUUAGAUUUAGUAAAGGAGAUUAAAAAUUAUUGUAUAAUUCUUAAAUUCUAAGUACUGUAGAGGAAUGGCCCUAAUUAAAAGAAAGAAAAGAUUAAAUUUU
This 151-nucleotide ribosomal RNA is filed under the name Polystira oxytropis. Its description in RNAcentral is "partial large subunit ribosomal RNA". The record is from RNAcentral. Lineage: Eukaryota; Metazoa; Mollusca; Gastropoda; Neogastropoda; Turridae.